RNAcentral lists this ribosomal RNA (295 nucleotides) under uncultured bacterium. RNAcentral's name for it is "partial 16S ribosomal RNA". It matches the Rfam family "Bacterial small subunit ribosomal RNA", at positions 195 to 507 of the family's 1533-position model. The record is from RNAcentral.
GGGGGUGUAAAGCUUUUGCGGUGUGGGAUGGGCCCGCGGCCUAUCAGCUUGUGUAGGGUAAUGGCCUACCAAGGCGACGACGGGUAGCCGGCCUGAGAGGGUGACCGGCCACACUGGGACUGAGAUACGGCCCAGACUCCUACGGGAGGCAGCAGUGGGGAAUAUUGCACAAUGGGCGCAAGCCUGAUGCAGCGACGCCGCGUGAGGGAUGACGGCCUUCGGGUUGUAAACCUCUUUCAAUAGGGACGAAGCGCAAGUGACGGUACCUAUAGAAGAAGGACCGGCCAACUACGUG